CGUAGGGUGCGAGCGUUAAUCGGAAUUACUGGGCGUAAAGCGUGCGCAGGCGGUUUAGUAAGACAGGCGUGAAAUCCCCGGGCUCAACCUGGGAACUGCGCUUGUGACUGCUAAGCUAGAGCACGGCAGAGGGGGGUGGAAUUCCACGUGUAGCAGUGAAAUGCGUAGAGAUGUGGAGGAACACCAAUGGCGAAGGCAGCCCCCUGGGUCGAUACUGACGCUCAUGCACGAAAGCGUGGGUAGCAAACAGGAUUAGAUACCCUGGUAGUCCACGCCCUAAACGAUGUCAACUAGGUGUUGGGAGGGUAAAACCUUUUAGUACCGGAGCUAACGCGUGAAGUUGACCGCCUGGGGAGUACGGCCGCAAGGUUA
RNAcentral lists this ribosomal RNA (372 nucleotides) under uncultured organism. RNAcentral's name for it is "bacterial SSU rRNA". It matches the Rfam family "Bacterial small subunit ribosomal RNA", at positions 526 to 896 of the family's 1533-position model. The record is from RNAcentral.